AGUGCAUCACCGCAGGCGGGCCUCGCGGGUCCGGGAGCGCGGCGGAGACGAUGCCUGAGAUCAGAGUCACGCCCUUGGGUAGAUGAUGAGCUGGAGAUCAAGGCCUACUAUGCAGGCCACGUGCUGGGGGCAGCCAUGUUCCAGAUUAAAGUGGGCUCAGAGUCUGUGGUCUACACGGUCAGUGGAAGGGCUUGAGGCUCGGGAGGGGCUGCUGGGGUGGGAGGCACCCUCCUCAUGGCAUCCUUGAUCGUUCACCAGGGUGAUUAUAACAUGACCCCAGACCGACACUUAGGGUAAGUAGGCUGAGGUGUCUUUUUGUCCCGUGGGCCCCCCUGGAGCUCAGGACCCUUGCAGGCGUCAGGGUGCCAGCCCUUGAGUGGCCAGCCUGGCAGCGUCUCCCAUGUCCUGUGCGGCCUGGAGAGCCCCCUUCGUUCUGGGCCCAAAUGCGCGAAGGCACAGGGUCCAGGCGGGGGCCUCAGUCCCUCCUUCUCUCUCUUCCCAAGUGUCUGGGUGGGUGCCUCUGUCUCGCUCUUCCGAAGUGUCUGGGUGGG
RNAcentral lists this small RNA (551 nucleotides) under Pan troglodytes (chimpanzee). RNAcentral describes it as "retained intron". The record is from RNAcentral. Lineage: Eukaryota; Metazoa; Chordata; Mammalia; Primates; Hominidae.